Long non-coding RNA from Pantherophis guttatus, 616 nucleotides. RefSeq lists it as uncharacterized. The record is from RefSeq and is a predicted model, not a curated record. Lineage: Eukaryota; Metazoa; Chordata; Lepidosauria; Squamata; Colubridae.
UUUAGAUUCAAACAUGUGACUGGAUGACAUAUGGAACAGGACUGAGCUAGACAUCUGGACCAGCCGGAAUAUUGUCUAAAAGAAAUCAUGGCCAUACAUUGGAAGAAAAAGCUCAAUUCUGCAAUGAAAUCGUAUUCCCCUCCUGAAUUUUGUUUUUAAACUUGGGAUAGUCAGUGUUGACUCUGGUUUACUUCCUGGAGUAGUCCCUGCAGAUUUCUUGGCAAGAUUUCAGAAGUGAUAUACCAUAGUCUUCUUCCAAGGGCUGAGAGAGAAUGACUGGCCUAAGGGCUACCUUUGUGUCUAAGUUCAGCCAUUCACUGGACACCCCUCACUCUGAAGGAUGGCAUUUUGAAAAGGAGACAGCACAUUUUUGUGCCAAACGAUUACAUGUUGUGUCAGGCAGUGGGAUGUGAUCAGAUAGAAAAGAAUGUCUCCAUUGUUCAGGCAGACAAAUGCUACAGCUUCCCAAAUUAAUAGUGAAUAUUGAUUUUUUUCCCCCUUUGUACUUACAUGCCAUGCAAUCAGAAUUAAAAUUAUAGUACACAAUAGGCCUUCCCAGGAAAGUUAAAUCAGAAUUGGAAUUUUUUUAAAGAAAAAUGAAAUAAAAUUAACUUAC